ACCACAAGAACGCGUGGAGCAUGUGGCUUAAUUUGACUCAACGCGGGAAAUCUUACCGGGUCCGGACACACUGAGGAUUGACAGGCAAUAUCUCAUGUUAACGGUAAGUUUACUUACCGCUUAACAUCAGUGUUAAAUAUGCUAGUCCUUUCAUGAUUAUGUGAUAGGUGGUGCAUGGCCGUUCUUAGUUCGUGGAGUGAUCUGUCUGCUUAAUUGCGUUUCACUAAGGGCCCAUAAAUUCAAGGUAUGUUAGCUCUCGUCGCUCUAUGGACCCCUUAACUCCAAUAUUCUUAUUGUGUUAAGCGCGUGUCUUUAUUUUAAGAGUUUUAAGACACUGCGCAUGCUGUUGGGCUCUGAAAGCAAC
RNAcentral lists this ribosomal RNA (364 nucleotides) under Neogloboquadrina pachyderma. RNAcentral's name for it is "bacterial SSU rRNA". It matches the Rfam family "Eukaryotic small subunit ribosomal RNA", at positions 1165 to 1447 of the family's 1831-position model. The record is from RNAcentral. Lineage: Eukaryota; Foraminifera; Rotaliida; Globorotaliidae.